GUCGAUAAGCUUUUCCAAUUUCCUCGUCACCACCUCAAAUAUGAUACCAAAUAAUUAAUAACCCAUGUAACAACUACCAUACCACAUAUUCUUAACAUUUAACUAUGAAAUAUUAGAACUUGAUUUUUCGAAACUUGAAUAUAAUCUUUAAUCUCGCUCACAAUUGGAACGAAUUCUACCUUCUAGUCCAUUCACUAAUCUUUAAUUUAUCAUAAUUACCUUCAUCCCAAACAUAAAAACAAUUCUUUCUUCUAAUCUAGUGAAACUUGAAUUCUCACAUGCACUAAUCUAAUUUACAUCUUAUUCCAUAAAUUCAUUCCAUAAAGUUAAUAUUUCAUCAUCAAAAUCAUUUCCCCUAAUUAUUCUUAUUCAAAAACUCAAUUAAAAACUCUAGGUUUGCCAAAAAUAGUAUAACUUACCUUGAUGCAAAAAUCUUUCACAAAACAAAAAGAUUAGCUUGAAAUCAUGCUCUUACCUUCAAUCUGAAAAUUAACCCAAACAAUUCCUUAGAACCCUAGAAAAUCAACCAUAACUAUUUCAUAAAAUUUUAAUCUUUACCUUUUGAAGAAUUAAAGAUAUAAAGCUUCAAGUAGUUGACACCAAAUUUCUUCCUUCUUUUUCCUUUUCCUUUUACUUUUCCUUUUCCUUUUUCUUUUCCUUUUCCUUGGUUUUUUCUCCUCUUCUUUCCCAGCUUCACUGCCCGAUUUUUCUACUGUGUGUGAGUGUGUGUAAUAAUUUGAAAAAUGAGAUAUUAGUUAAAUACUUGCCACAUGUAAUCCAUUAUACCAACUUUGCAAAUAAAGCCC
Molecule: long non-coding RNA, 806 nt
Filed under: Olea europaea (common olive)
Lineage: Eukaryota; Viridiplantae; Streptophyta; Magnoliopsida; Lamiales; Oleaceae
Description: long non-coding RNA (OEUR_LNC002682)
Source: RNAcentral